AUUGAACGCUGGCGGCAGGCUUAACACAUGCAAGUCGAGCGGGGGAAGGUAGCUUGCUACCGGACCUAGCGGCGGACGGGUGAGUAGUGCUUAGGAAUCUGCCUAUUAGUGGGGGACAACAUCUCGAAAGAGAUGCUAAUACCGCAUACGUCCUACGGGAGAAAGCAGGGGAUCUUCGGACCUUGCGCUAAUAGAUGAGCCUAAGUCGGAUUAGCUAGUUGGUGGGGUAAAGGCCUACCAAGGCGACGAUCUGUAGCGGGUCUGAGAGGAUGAUCCGCCACACUGGGACUGAGACACGGCCCAGACUCCUACGGGAGGCAGCAGUGGGGAAUAUUGGACAAUGGGGGGAACCCUGAUCCAGCCAUGCCGCGUGUGUGAAGAAGGCCUUAUGGUUGUAAAGCACUUUAAGCGAGGAGGAGGCUACUCUAGUUAAUACCUAGGGAUAGUGGACGUUACUCGCAGAAUAAGCACCGGCUAACUCUGUGCCAGCAGCCGCAGUAA
Molecule: ribosomal RNA, 501 nt
Filed under: uncultured bacterium
Lineage: Bacteria
Description: partial 16S ribosomal RNA
Rfam family: Bacterial small subunit ribosomal RNA
Source: RNAcentral